Molecule: non-coding RNA, 135 nt
Organism: Triticum aestivum (bread wheat)
Lineage: Eukaryota; Viridiplantae; Streptophyta; Magnoliopsida; Poales; Poaceae
Source: Rfam
CAUAUACUCCCUCCGUCCGAAAAUACUUGUCAUCAAAAUGGAUAAAAAGAGAUGUAUCUAGAACUAAAAUACAUCUAGAUACAUCCUCUUUUAUUCAUUUAGAUGACAAGUAUUUCCGGACGGAGGGAGUACAAA